Molecule: transfer RNA, 82 nt
Filed under: Veillonella criceti
Lineage: Bacteria; Bacillati; Bacillota; Negativicutes; Veillonellales; Veillonellaceae
Rfam family: tRNA
About the family: Transfer RNA (tRNA) molecules are approximately 80 nucleotides in length.
Source: Rfam by way of RNAcentral
GCGGGAGUGGCGGAAUUGGCAGACGCACCAGACUUAGGAUCUGGCGCCUUCGGGCGUGGGGGUUCAAGUCCCUUCUCCCGCA